This 92-nucleotide ribosomal RNA is filed under the name Staphylococcus haemolyticus. RNAcentral describes it as "partial 23S ribosomal RNA". It matches the Rfam family "Bacterial large subunit ribosomal RNA", at positions 1 to 91 of the family's 2925-position model. RNAcentral also lists the same sequence under 1 other name. The record is from RNAcentral. Lineage: Bacteria; Bacillati; Bacillota; Bacilli; Caryophanales; Staphylococcaceae.
AGAUUAAGUUAUUAAGGGCGCACGGUGGAUGCCUUGGCACUAGAAGCCGACGAAGGACGUUACUAACGACGAUAUGCUUUGGGUAGCUGUAA